Molecule: long non-coding RNA, 2008 nt
Filed under: Homo sapiens (human)
Lineage: Eukaryota; Metazoa; Chordata; Mammalia; Primates; Hominidae
Description: non-protein coding lnc-HECTD4-1:1
Source: RNAcentral
GCUUAUAGACCGGAAGCCGGGACCUUAAUUCUCUUUCCCAUCUUGCAAGAUGGCGGGUGAAAAAGUUGAGAAGCCAGAUACUAAAGAGAAGAAACCCGAAGCCAAGAAGGUUGAUGCUGGUGGCAAGGUGAAAAAGGGUAACCUCAAAGCUAAAAAGCCCAAGAAGGGGAAGCCCCAUUGCAGCCGCAACCCUGUCCUUGUCAGAGGAAUUGGCAGGUAUUCCCGAUCUGCCAUGUAUUCCAGAAAGGCCAUGUACAAGAGGAAGUACUCAGCCGCUAAAUCCAAGGUAAGGGAAGAGGACCACGGACCAUUAUGUCUUAACCUUAAUUGGCAUUCUCUUACUGUUGAUGCAUUUGUGUCCUUGUAGGUUGAAAAGAAAAAGAAGGAGAAGGUUCUCGCAACUGUUACAAAACCAGUUGGUGGUGACAAGAACGGCGGUACCCGGGUGGUUAAACUUCGCAAAAUGGUAAGAUGUGGGGACUGUAAAUUGGAUUUUCUGUUUAUGCUUGAAUACUGUGAAGAUGUUUUUGAAUACUUAGAUACUGUAAGUUUCUGCAUACCGGAGAAUUUCUGAUAGAAAAUAAAGGGCUCUGGGUUUGUAACUUGGCUUCAACAUUUACUGUUAAUCUUAAGUAAUUUAAAUUACUCGUCUGUGCUUUGUUCCUUUGCAUAUAAUAUGGGAAUGAGGCUGAGUGUGGUGGCUAAUGCCUGUAAUCCCAGCACUUUGGGAGGCUGAGGCGAGCAGAUCACCUGAGGUCAGGAGUUCAAGACCAGCCUGGCCAACAUGGUGAAACCACAUCUCUAGUAAAAAUAUACAAAUUAGCUGGUUGCGUGCCUGUAGUCCCAGCUGCUCUGGAGGCUGAGGCAGAAGAAUCGCUUGAACCCGGGAGGCAGAGAUUGCACUACUGCACUCCAGCCUGGGCGACAGAGGGAGGCUUCAUCUCAAAAAAAGAUAAGAUGGGAAUGAGGGUUUACCUCAAAGAGUUUUUAUGGAGAUUAAAUGAAAUAAUACAUAGCCUGUUCUAUAGAACAUUUCCCACUAGAGCAGUGUUUCUUGGCCCCCUUUACCACACACAAGACCCAAUGUAAUCUCAGGAUUUGCUCUGUAAUUUUCAUUAUGGGAACAUUCCCAAAUAAGUUAACACCAUACAGUUUCACAGUUGAAGAUUACUGCAUGAGAGGGAAGAUGACAGUUGUUUUGUGAACUCGUUUUCCCAUUAGGUGAUCAUGUUUGUGGUGAAAGUGAGACUGCACUAAUGAUAUGGUAUAGUUGGAAAUAGGUUAUUGUGAGUUAUUUGUAGUCAUGUCUUUAAUGGCCCUUGCAUGGUGUCUAACUUCUGCAAUAAAUGAUCUGCCAGUCCUAGUGUCUGGCUUUAUGCAAUUUGUUUUCCUUUGUGGAUGAAGUGGGAGUAAGACUUGUUGCUGUGAGGAUCAGAUGAAGUGGCUAGGAUAUGGACACACUUUACUUGAAUUGGAAAACAAGCCAUGUAUCCCUAAUCUGCAAAAUGUGGCAUGUCACACGUGUAAUCUCUGAGGUUUAGUUUUUGCUCAAGAUUGCAAAGGUGACUUGCUUGAUGCUUUCUUUGCUUGAGCACACAUCUCAUUCAUUAAAUGGUGUCUCCUUUUUUGCACACAGGAUGCAGAAGCAUAAUUGACCUUUUCCAAGUCUACUUAGCAGAAAUGAAAAUGGAAUCAUAUAAAUACAGUAUUAUACUUUAAAAUAAAAAGGCUGUAGCAAAAGUUUGGCUGACAUAGCUUGCUUCUAGUAAUCUGAAUGGCUUAUUUAAAUAAGUUGGAUCUAUGGACUCUCCACAGCCUAGAUAUUAUCCUACUGAAGAUGUGCCUCGAAAGCUGUUGAGCCACGGCAAAAAACCCUUCAGUCAGCACGUGAGAAAACUGCGAGCCAGCAUUACCCCCGGGACCAUUCUGAUCAUCCUCACUGGACGCCACAGGGGCAAGAGGGUGGUUUUCCUGAAGCAGCUGGCUAGUGGCUUAUUACUUGUGACUG